Molecule: ribosomal RNA, 424 nt
Filed under: uncultured prokaryote
Description: bacterial SSU rRNA
Rfam family: Bacterial small subunit ribosomal RNA
Source: RNAcentral
UGAGGAAUAUUGGACAAUGGGGGAAACCCUGAUCCAGCCAUGCCGCGUGAGUGAAGAAGGCCUUAGGGUUGUAAAGCUCUUUCAAUGGUGAAGAUAAUGACGGUAGCCAUAGAAGAAGCCCCGGCUAAAUUCGUGCCAGCAGCCGCGGUAAUACGAAUGGGGCAAGCGUUGUUCGGAAUCACUGGGCUUAAAGCGUAUGUAGGCGGACUGUAAAGUCAGGAGUGAAAUCCCGGGGCUCAACCCCGGAACUGCUCUUGAAACUCACAGUCUAGAAUCCUGGAGAGGUCGGGAGAAUUCCGAGUGUAGAGGUGAAAUUCGCAGAUAUUCGGAGGAAUACCAGUGGCGUAGGCGCCCGACUGGACAGGUAUUGACGCUCAGAUACGAAAGCGUGGGGAGCAAACAGGAUUAGAUACCCCCGUAGUCC